GGGCUGGUGAGUGUUCCUCUGCCAGUAUAGAAACCGAUCAGGCUAGCAAAGCGUGGACAGAAUACCUCCUCUUUCUAACACUCUAACAACUUGAUUUUACUAUCAAUAAUUUUGUUCUCUUCUAUCAAUUCUUCACAUUUUCUUUAUAAUUCCCAUCUAGCUCUUUCUCCUCUUUGCAAUCUAUACUAAUUCUUCCUGCUUCCUCACAUACUAUUAAAUCUACAUUUUCAUCUACAUUAAUCCUCUUACCUUUGCCUAUUAACCAACUUUUUUGCAAUCUGUUAUAUCAUUUUCUUACCUAUUUUUUGCAUAGUUGAGUAAGUUGUUCCCAACCAACAACAUAUCUUUUUCAUUAAAUCUUAUCUAUUUCGUUCCCUAUUCUCAAUUCUGAUGUUACCAAAAUCCCCCUUAAGAUGUAUAACUUUCAUUAAGCAUAUUUGUAAGAUUAAACUUGGCAAACCACUGGCUAUUUGGUCCAGAUGCUAGUUUUCAUAUGAUCAAGGUCCAUUAAUCAUUUUCCCACUUCUGGUUUGCAGUUUUGUGACUGAAAGUGGAAAUAGUGGCAUGCUGAAGGCCAGGUUGUAGGUUCAAGGCUGAAAUGGCUUUAUAGAGGGACUUCCUAGUCAUAGCUAUCACUCUGCAUUUUAGUUAACCUAAGAGCCUGCUCUUUCCAUUCAUUUUAUUAUUACUAUCAUUGGAGAGAGAGAGAGAGAGCCCUUCAUUUCAUUUUGAAUAACCUCUUGUUUUUCUUUUAUUUCUCUGCCCCAGUACUGUAUAACAAACAACAUUUUUAUCAUUUUUGCCGCCUCUCCACUCCCUACUUACCAUUUUUCUCUUCCCUCCCAUCUGCUAGGAUUGAUUGGCAAGUUUAUUCACAUUUAUUUAAAACACUUAUUCAUGAGAAUAGGGCUGGCCUUGUGUGGAUAUUAUACAGUACUAGAAAUGAUUAUAUGCAGAUUGGAGCGAGUAAGGGGGAGUUUUUAUCUAUCUAUGUAGCAUUUGUUUUUCAGCCCUUCCAAAUUUUGAAAAUCAAUAGCAUCACUAAUAACUUUAAGUAUAUUUCUAUUUUUAUUUCAAAACUGAACUGAGAUAGUCCCUCCCUGAAAAAAGUAAUUCAAUCAAUGAAAGUUAGUGGGUACAAAAGCCUUGUUUUUGUUGUUAUUCUCAGAAUGCAGAUUUGCUUAAAGAUGUGAGCUUUUAAGAAAUUUCUCAUGCAGGAUGCGUUUUCAUAAUACCAAAUGAAAUAAUUUGUUCUUUAUGAAAUAAGAGCUUGAGGGAGUAGCAGUACUAACAAGCCCAGUUGAGUUCUUUUUCUGUUUACAGAAACAAAGUCAGAGAUAUUGCUAAAUUUGGGGAAAAUAUAACAAAGCAGACUGAUCCAUUAAACCCAGCUGACUAAACCUUUCAAAAGACUAUGUGACAGCUCUGCACUUAGCUGUGAGAAGGUAAAACCAUAGAUGCUAUGGGGAGGAACUUAAGUUUCUACCUCCUCUCAAUCAUUUUAAUUGUAACCAAGCCACAUAUGUCCUGGUUCACACAUUACAUGAACACGUGUUAGCCUGUGUAACCAUGGAGAUACGGCAUUUGGACUCUUUGAUCAAGAUUCCAUUGAAUACCACAGAGAUUCUGUGUCCAGGGCAGCUGUUUAUCAGCUCCAUCUGGUACGCAGGCUGAGACCCUACCUGCCCACAGACUGUCUUGCCAGAGUGGUGCAUGCUCUAGUUAUCUCUUGCUUGGACUACUGCAAUGUGCUCUAUGUGGGGCUAUCUUUGAAGGUGAUCCAGAAACUACAACUAAUCCAGAAUGCGGCAGCUAGACUGGUGACUGGGAGCGGCUGCCGAGAUCUUGAAAGACCCACACUGGCUCCCAGUACGUUUCCGAGCACAAUUCAAAGUGUUGGUGCUGACCUUUAAAGCCCUAAACGGCCUCGGUCCAGUAUACCUGAAGGAGCGUCUCCACCUCCAUCGUUCUGCCCGGACACUGAGGUCCAGCGCCGAGGGCCUUCUGGUGGUUCCCUCGCUGCGAGAAGCCAAGUUACAGGGAACCAGGCAGAGGGCCUUCUUGGUAGUGGCACCUGCCCUGUGGAACACCCACCAGAUGUCAAGGAGAAAAAUAACUACCAAACUUUUAGAAGACAUCUGAAGGCAGCCCUGUUUAGGGAAGCUUUUAAUGUUUCAUAGGUUAUUGUAUUUUAGUGUUUUGUUGGAAGCCGCCCAGAGUGGCUGGGGAAACCCAGCCAAAUGGGUGGGGUAUAAAUAAUAAACUAUUAUUAUUAUAAAUUAUUGUGCCUGAGCAGGGAAAGUACCAAAUGCAAUGUUACAGAGUACUUAGUUAUUACAAGGUUAUAUGCAAACUCAAAUUGCCUGGGACACUAUCUUAUACUUUGUUUCAAUGAUACAGAUAGAAAUAACUGAAAGUCUAAUAGUUGGGGCGGCAAACAAUCUGGAAGGGUAAAAUGAAGGCCUAUAUACACCAGAGCAGAGGCUGCCAAACUUUUGGGACUUAUGAGCAUAUUUGAAAUUUUGAGAAAGUUCUAUGUACCCUCCCCUCGGGUUGCUUAUAUUUGUUGGCUAUUUGCAGUAUGGUAGCGCUGCAGAGAGCUUGCUGGGGAGACCAUGCAUUAAAAAGGGACUCAAAAAUAACUUAAACAAGGUUUUAAUAACAAAAACCAAAACUCCUUAUACACUAAAUACAUCAACAAACCAGACCCAACCACCAACCCAUCCCCCAGGGUACUGGGAGAGCUAGGUGCUGCUCCUUAUAUACUACACCCAAUUGCUGACACAGCUUAAUCAACACAACUCAGCAGCACCUGCUAUGCUCCACAGCUGCAAAGCUGGGUUUCGUUAUUUUGCUCUGGCCCUUGCUCUGGCCCCUUAAAGACAUACACAUCGGGUGGAACAAUGAUGAACCUUUACAUUUAAAGAAACAAUUCAACAAUAUCACCUGUGGCCCAGGUCACUCUCUGCUCCACUGAAAGGCAGAAAAAAAGAGAUUGCUCAUGCACAUACACUAAUUCUUUGCUUUUCCAUAGGGACUUGACAACAGUUGAACCAGUUAUUUAAAAAUAUCACUUGAAUUUGCAUGAUUUUACACAGGGUACCUCUCAUGUAACUCCCACCUCCCCAUACACCCUCCAACAAAUUAAAGGUUAUAAUGGUAGACUGCAAACAAAACAAAAAUCAUGGAUCUAGUACUAUCUCUAUUAAUUUUUUUUGAUAUCUAGUAUUCAAGUUCUUUAUUUUACUGUUUAAUAUUGUAUUGAAUUGAUUCUUUCCUGUAUCCUGUCUUGCUAUUUUAUAACAAAAGGCAGUCUAUACACAUUUUAAUAAAUAAAUGCGAGGAAUUCCCGACAGCUAUCAUCACUUUGUGCGUUGAAGGCAAAUGCUGGCCUCAGGAGUAUCCCAGUUUCUUUAGGGAAGCCACAGUAGGAAAUCGAACUGCUCCCAAAUUGCUAACAUAAACUGACUUACCUUGAAAUGGAAGUAAGAUGCUCCAUGCCAUGAUUUAAUAGUUAUAAAGCUGAACAUCUAUUUACACGUUUUAUAACAGCUUGCAUGCCAUUUGUGUGUGUAUUAAUGUUCUAAGACAUAAAGUGAAUAUUCUUAAUGUUGAAUUCUUAAUGCGAGCUGAAGUGAAGACAGCUCCUAAUGUACCUAAACUGGAGGCAAGGUGGAGUGGGGAAGUUCCAGCUACUUUGACAAGAAAAUAGAUUAAUGUUUGUUGUUUAAGCCAGACUUCCUUUUCUUCCAAUAGUUUUUCUAUCUAGAAAAUUCUGUAGUUUAGAAGAACUUGAGGUUUCAAACGGAAGGAUAAUAUAAAGAUUAACCAUAGUCUUUUCUCCUUCCUAUCAUAUCUCGAAAAUGAAACUGGCUUAAAUGGCAUUCUCUAAAAUCUAAUAAUUAUUGUAAUAAAGAAUACUUUAUUUCAGUAAAAAACAAAACAAAUUGAAUGUAAAAUUGUGUGUGUGUGUGUGUGAGAGAGAGAGAGAGAGAGAGAGAGAAUGAGAGUGUGUGACAGAUACUAAGCCUCAUUAAAUCAGAAUUCUAAAGAGGGCCCUAUCUUUUAAAGGCAGAGCAGGUAUUGUCCUGAUGAGUUGGGGGCAGCCCACCAAUUGGCAGGCCCAUUGGGUGAUAAAUGUCCUAAGGCCCCAAGGCUGAGGACACAUUUUUCAUCAUUAAUCUAUCCCAUUGUGAACUGGUCCACUCACAUUGAUUCCAACUAGGGGGCAUCAUCUGCUGUUAAAAGGGUGAUGACUCGCUAAAAAUGAAGGCCUGAAACUAAUCACGUAUAGUUAGAGCCUUUGCUGGCAGCUUGCUUAGAUAGCUGUAGGGUACUAAUAGGAAAGCACUAGACAUUUGGGCAGACACUUCUCAGCUUUGUAUGGGAAUGCAGUAGGCCCCUUUGAAAGCACAUCAUGCGAUUUUAGCUAUUGAUGAAUAAAAUACUACUGAGAUAAAUCCUUGGUCUUGUGUUAUUUUUUUGUUCUCUUGCUGGCUGCCUUUGCAGUAAUAAAAAUACAAAAUAAAACAGUAGGAUUCUUAAACAUAAUGCAGUGCCCAGCCUGUCAAGCUAGGAUCAUACUAAAUGAUUCACUUACAAAGAAUUUCCUUUGCAAAAAUCCUUGUCACACUGUCUAAUUCGUCUGUCUGUCUCUCUGGGUUUCAGUGUAGCCUCUUAUUUAUCUAAGGGCCUUGCUACUCCUGUGUGCAAGUAACACAGGUGCUUGCCUUUGCCUUUGAUGUUGCUUAUUAAUUUAUACCAGCUGGGAUGUUAAAAAAAAGUUCUCAUUCAGUUUGAGCUUCCAGUAAAGCUGUUGAUGCAGUACUGUUGAAUCCAAGUUGUAUUUUUCUGCUGUAAUGGAAAUGGGUAAGAUUUUUAUUUGGUUAUUUUUCUUGUCUUAACCAUGGCCCUAACUUU
Molecule: long non-coding RNA, 4920 nt
Filed under: Podarcis lilfordi (Lilford's wall lizard)
Lineage: Eukaryota; Metazoa; Chordata; Lepidosauria; Squamata; Lacertidae
Source: RNAcentral